This 400-nucleotide ribosomal RNA is filed under the name uncultured bacterium. RNAcentral describes it as "bacterial SSU rRNA". It matches the Rfam family "Bacterial small subunit ribosomal RNA", at positions 355 to 772 of the family's 1533-position model. The record is from RNAcentral.
UGGGGAAUAUUGGACAAUGGGGGCAACCCUGAUCCAGCAAUGCCGCGUGAGUGAUGAAGGCCUUCGGGUUGUAAAGCUCUUUUGCCAGGGACGAUGAUGACGGUACCUGGAGAAUAAGCCCCGGCUAACUUCGUGCCAGCAGCCGCGGUAAUACAGAGGGGGCAAGCGUUGUUCGGAAUUACUGGGCGUAAAGGGCGCGUAGGCGGCCCGCUAAGUCGAACGUGAAAUCCCUGGGCUCAACCCAGGAACUGCGUCCGAUACUGGUGGGCUUGAAUCCGGGAGAGGGAUGUGGAAUUCCAGGUGUAGCGGUGAAAUGCGUAGAUAUCUGGAGGAACACCGGUGGCGAAGGCGACAUCCUGGACCGGUAUUGACGCUGAGGCGCGAAAGCCAGGGGAGCAAA